AAUAAGCGCAGUUGUGGGUUUUAGUGUCCAACUUUGACCGUCCGUCUUAUUUGAAAUUUUUUAUUACUAUUUUUAUUGUUAUUAGAUGAUAAAAUAUAAAUAUUACUUUAUGCGUGACUUAAUUUUUUAAAAAAAUUCAUAAAUUUUUCAAAUAAGACGGAUGGUCAAACGUUGGACACGGAAACUUACGGCUGCACUUAAA
Molecule: microRNA precursor, 202 nt
Filed under: Oryza glumipatula
Lineage: Eukaryota; Viridiplantae; Streptophyta; Magnoliopsida; Poales; Poaceae
Description: MIR812 microRNA precursor family
Rfam family: MIR812 microRNA precursor family
Source: Rfam by way of RNAcentral